This 150-nucleotide small nucleolar RNA is filed under the name Peromyscus maniculatus bairdii (prairie deer mouse). The record is from RNAcentral. Lineage: Eukaryota; Metazoa; Chordata; Mammalia; Rodentia; Cricetidae.
GGCCUCUCUCUCGUUAGGCUUUUGGGAAUGGGUUGGGUUUUUGUUUUUGUUUUUCUUCUCAGUGGGGGCUAAAGGUCAGAAUCAACCCUUGAGAAUAAUUGACAGAAGCACCAAGCACCUGGUAGCCUUGUUUUCUUGCCUCAAUCAUAA